RNAcentral lists this ribosomal RNA (253 nucleotides) under uncultured bacterium. RNAcentral describes it as "partial 16S ribosomal RNA". It matches the Rfam family "Bacterial small subunit ribosomal RNA", at positions 524 to 776 of the family's 1533-position model. The record is from RNAcentral.
UACAGGGGGCUCGAGCGUUAGUCGGAAUCACUGGGCUUAAAGGGUGCGUAGGCGGCUCGCCAAGUGCUUUGUGAAAUCCCACAGCUCAACUGUGGAACAGCAGGGCAAACUGGCGGGCUUGAGGCAGGUAGGGGCCGGAAGAACAGUUGGUGGAGCGGUGAAAUGCGUAGAUAUCAACUGGAAUGCCGAUGGGGAAGCCGUCCGGCUGGGCCUGUCCUGACGCUGAGGCACGAAAGCGUGGGGAGCAAACAGG